UACGUAGGUGACAAGCGUUGUCCGGAUUUACUGGGCGUAAAGAGCGCGCAGGCGGUCGAUCAAGUCGAGUGUGAAAGCCCCCGGCUCAACUGGGGAGGGUCAUUCGAUACUGAUCGACUCGAGGCAGGAGAGGGUAGUGGAAUUCCCGGUGUAGUGGUGAAAUGCGUAGAUAUCGGGAGGAACACCAGUGGCGAAGGCGACUACCUGGCCUGUUCUUGACGCUGAGGCGCGAAAGCUAGGGGAGCAAACGGG
This 252-nucleotide ribosomal RNA is filed under the name uncultured bacterium. RNAcentral's name for it is "partial 16S ribosomal RNA". It matches the Rfam family "Bacterial small subunit ribosomal RNA", at positions 524 to 776 of the family's 1533-position model. The record is from RNAcentral.